Vicia faba (fava bean) is the source of this 249-nucleotide non-coding RNA. The record is from the annotation of a GenBank genome assembly. Lineage: Eukaryota; Viridiplantae; Streptophyta; Magnoliopsida; Fabales; Fabaceae.
AUGGUUGACAACACACGUAUGAAGUGCAUGGAGAACUCACUUACUGAGAUGAACAAAAUGCUACAAAAGUUCCUAGAAGAUGCAGAUCAUCGUCAUGACGAGUAUACCCACCACCGUCAUCUGGAUCAAGCGAGAUUUGAGCGUGUUGAAUCUCAACUCAGCAACCUUCAUCUAACUCAGUCCUCUGGCAGCAAGGGCUCAUCACCGUCGUCAUCACCGGUUGCUCAACCCUUUCAGGUGCAGACUUAG